AGUACAGUACUUAAUGAACUCGCCAGUCUGGUGCAGUACAUGAGGAGGAGAUGGACUGCAGUACUUUAUGCAGCUGGUGGCCAGACCAGAUACUUAGGGCUACAUUUUAUUUUGAUCCCCCCCCCCCCCCCCCCCCCCCC
Molecule: long non-coding RNA, 140 nt
Organism: Etheostoma cragini (Arkansas darter)
Lineage: Eukaryota; Metazoa; Chordata; Actinopteri; Perciformes; Percidae
Exons: 3
Source: RefSeq, a predicted model, not a curated record